AGAACGAACGCUGGCGGCAUGCCUAACACAUGCAAGUCGAACGCUCUUGGGGCUUCGGUCUCAGGGGAGUGGCGCACGGGUGAGUAGCGCGUGGGAACCUGCCCUGUUGUGGGGGAUAACCGAGGGAAACUUCGGCUAAUACCGCAUAAGCCGGUUGUCUUGAAGGAGAUGGCCGGGAAAGAUUUAUCGCGACAGGAGGGGCCCGCGUCGGAUUAGCUAGUUGGUGGGGUAACGGCCCACCAAGGCGGUGAUCCGUAGCUGGUCUGAGAGGAUGAUCAGCCACACUGGGACUGAGACACGGCCCAGACUCCUACGGAGGCAGCAGUGGGGAAUAUUGGACAAUGGGCGAAAGCCUGAUCCAGCAAUGCCGCGUGGGUGAAGAAGGUCUUCGGAUUGUAAAGCCCUUUCGACGGGGACGAUGAUGACGGUACCCGUAGAAGAAGCCCCGGCUAACUUCGUGCCAGCAGCCGC
This 471-nucleotide ribosomal RNA is filed under the name uncultured bacterium. Its description in RNAcentral is "SSU rRNA". It matches the Rfam family "Bacterial small subunit ribosomal RNA", at positions 26 to 518 of the family's 1533-position model. The record is from RNAcentral.